GAAUUCGAUUCAGGCCUAACACAUGCAAGUCGAGCGGGGUUUUCGGACCUAGCGGCGGACGGGUGAGUAAUGCGUAGGAAGCUACCCGAUAGAGGGGGAUACCAGUUGGAAAAGACUGUUAAUACCGCAUAAUGUCUACGGACCAAAGUGUGGGACCUUCGGGCCACAUGCUAUCGGAUGUGCCUACGUGGGAUUAGCUAGUUGGUGAGGUAAUGGCUCACCAAGGCGACGAUCCCUAGCUGGUUUGAGAGGAUGAUC
Molecule: ribosomal RNA, 258 nt
Filed under: uncultured bacterium
Lineage: Bacteria
Description: partial 16S ribosomal RNA
Rfam family: Bacterial small subunit ribosomal RNA
Source: RNAcentral